Molecule: long non-coding RNA, 313 nt
Filed under: Gopherus agassizii (Agassiz's desert tortoise)
Lineage: Eukaryota; Metazoa; Chordata; Testudines; Testudinidae
Description: lncRNA (ENSGAGG00000009560.1)
Source: RNAcentral
CCCCAGGUCCGGCACCCAGCAGCUGAUUGUGUCAAGUGCCCGUCAGGCAACAGGGCGGUGCCGGCCCCUGGUCCUCCCGUUUGCUGAUACGUGGCCUGGCUUUUGAGUUGUUCUCCGCAAAGCUCAGUGUGACAGCACCAUUGCUGGUAUGUGGCUAACCCUGUGGGCCCAGGGAUGUGCAGCCGGAGCCACAAUGUGAACCACUGCCUCAUACUGAUUCCCCAACAGCCGAUGACAAUAUUUCAGCAGAUCCCUGGGAUCCUGUCUCCGUUCGCUCAGCCUGUAAGGCCAGGACACGUCCGAGAAGGUAGGA